This 333-nucleotide long non-coding RNA is filed under the name Rattus norvegicus (Norway rat). RNAcentral's name for it is "long non-coding RNA NONRATT001900". Lineage: Eukaryota; Metazoa; Chordata; Mammalia; Rodentia; Muridae. The record is from RNAcentral.
GGCCUCUGCUUGUGACCCUUCAAAUGAGUCUCUUUUUUGUGGCUCUAACACCUGACUUGUGAAGGGCACCCGACUUGAAGGUGUCCCCUGAACCUCCAUCAACUUGGUUUCAGAUCAGCAUAAUGACCCUGAGGAUGUUUGAGCAUUUGCUACAAAAACCCAAUGAGCACAUCCUGUACAACCUGGUCCUAAGGAAUCUUGAAGAAAGAAACUAUACGGAAUACAAACCUUUAUGCCCAGAAGACAAGGACGUGGUGGAGAACGGGCUGAUAGCGGGAGCUGUAGAUCUGGAGGAAGAUCCAUUAUUUACUGACAUUUCACCAGAUAACACUC